CCUUCCUCCUCGCUGAAAGUGCUUUACAACCCGAAGGCCUUCUUCAUACACGCGGCAUGGCUGCAUCAGGGUUGCCCCCAUUGUGCAAUAUUCCCCACUGCUGCCUCCCGUAGGAGUCUGGACCGUGUCUCAGUUCCAGUGUGGCUGAUCAUCCUCUCAGACCAGCUAGGGAUCGUCGCCUAGGUGAGCCAUUACCUCACCAACUAGCUAAUCCCAUCUGGG
RNAcentral lists this ribosomal RNA (222 nucleotides) under Pectobacterium carotovorum. RNAcentral describes it as "partial 16S rRNA". The record is from RNAcentral. Lineage: Bacteria; Pseudomonadati; Pseudomonadota; Gammaproteobacteria; Enterobacterales; Pectobacteriaceae.